Molecule: long non-coding RNA, 762 nt
Organism: Hibiscus syriacus
Lineage: Eukaryota; Viridiplantae; Streptophyta; Magnoliopsida; Malvales; Malvaceae
Exons: 3
Source: RefSeq, a predicted model, not a curated record
CUCUCUUUCCCAUUGUAUUGCGUCGUCGACCAUGGUAUCGGCCGCCAUUAGCAGAGCCGUUGAACUCAAAAAAUGCACCAACAUUUCUGUUGGGCCUCUUAAUCACAAUUUCAGCCUUGGUUUCAAUGAAAAACUCCUCAAUUUUCCCAAAUUAGUCGCAAACGUUUUGGGUUCUUACUUAUGAUCUCCGCCUUCCGCUGUUCGAUAGAGCCCAUCUUUACAUAUGUUGAUCCUUUCACUGAAUAUAGAAUCCCUACUGUUGGGAUUGGCCUUUCAUCACUUUGAUCACACGAAAGUGGCAACGAUCGGAGGUACCUUUUUUUUCUUUGAUUUCUCCAUUUUCACUUUUUUUUUUUCUUUUUACAUACUUUGGUUUAAGGUACUACAAUGUUUUGGAGGGUUUGUUUUGUUGGAGCGGUGAUGAAUUUGAUUGAUGAUGAGUGUAGAGUUGGGAAAAUGGAUGGUGGUGGACGAUGGGUGUGAGACGCUAAUUGUUGGAUCGUAAAGAUUAUGACAUGAUUAACGGGUCCAUCUUCAUACUACUAGCGUAUUUCAAAAAGCUUUUUUGAUGAGUUCUUUAUGGUAUUUCGCUAGAAUUUCCAACUAUUGCAGCCUGCUUGUGCUUUCUGCAACAACCAUGGUGGCUGGUCUAUCUUUUUUCUCACUAUUCAAUGUGUCAGUGUUUAAAAUGGAGAUGGACUAAAGCUUGGGCAGUAGGCAUAGGAGCAGUGGCGGUAGUAGCUUGGAUCGGGACAGACAUUU